ACUCACUCAAUUAGUUGAGAAGAUGAGUCGUCAACCAGCUGCUAAAACAAGUUGCCAGGUUAAACCACAGCCAAACAAAGAACAAGAGUUGUACGAGCACGUCGAGAUGCAGGAACAACAAUCUCAUUACAUGACAAUCAAUCGUCUUAACCACGUUGAAGUUGAGAACAACUCCCAACUAGCCGGUCAAAUCUCCACUAAAAUCGAGAGGUGGAAAUGUGUUGUGAUUGCACUGAUGACUGUAUUUCUGGUCAUUGCUCUAGUUGUGUGUCUGGUGGCUGUCAUCAUUAUACAGUCCUUUGGUCAGCGGUGGAGACACUGGGAAUCUAUUGUCGAGGAUUCAACAGCUGGAGGAAAAAAACACUGCUAAAGAAUCUCAGAUAGCCAGCAUACAACACUUAGUACAGACAUCAACUUUGGCACAAAACAAUUUUCGUCAAGAUUUGGACUGUCUCCGCACAGUUAACCUCUAUGGGGGCUGUACCAAUGAGACCAGGACUUGACUGUUGUUAUCAUUAAGCAAUGAUUGGAUCGCUUGCAACACUGGUUUUUUACUGAUCAUCAAUCCUGGAGACACACAGUACUUCACAUCCAGCAUAGUGUGUGAUGUGUCCAGUUCCAACUACCUUGUGUCAACCUCGUACAUACAAGAGUGGAAACACUAUUUGCUGCGAAUGUGAAGUUACCUAUCCCAUUAGUGCUGGUCACAACACAUUCCUGUACAUGCAGUGCCGUCUGCACACUGACUGUCACCAAGUGUCCUUAUACUUGAAACCUCCUGAACUGAACUGAUACCUAUUUGCUGAAACAGAACUGAGUGUAUAUAUUUAAUAGAAUGAGUAGCUACAUGGUGUUUAUAAUGUUAUCUGUUACCCUCUAGCUUAAAAUUAAGUGUAUACUUCAAAUUUUUGUCUGAUUACUGUAUACCAUCAUAAUGUUCUAGCUGCUGCAA
Molecule: long non-coding RNA, 952 nt
Organism: Halichondria panicea
Lineage: Eukaryota; Metazoa; Porifera; Demospongiae; Suberitida; Halichondriidae
Exons: 2
Source: RefSeq, a predicted model, not a curated record